CCAAUGUCCCCUUCAAUUCCUCCAAGCUCCCACUGGAUUUUUGUUUUAUUUUCACAAAUUUUGUGAUUCCAAAGCUUCUCAUUCAACGUUACAAUUUUUUUUUUCCUCAGCCGUGCCCGGGAAUAAUGGGCACGUUCAUAAUGGCUCCUUUUUCCUGAUAAUGCUGUAUUUAAGGGGAAUAUUUAAGUGGAAAAAGAAAAACAAAUGGUUAAAUUAGAUGUGAGUCGUGGCUGAAAAAGGGGUUAAACAUUCCCCAGUGGUGAAUUCCUUCAAGGGGGGCUCUGAAAUCCCCAAAAGCAGCAGGAAGGGUGAGGAAAGGGGUGGCUCCCACCCUUUAUACCCAAAAAUGCUUCAAAAAGGAAAUUUGCAGGUGUCCCAUGGCCACCUGUGCAGCGUGUCCCUUGUGGGGCACCAGAGUCACCCCCAAAACCCCGGGGCCACCAACAUCCUGUGGACAAAGCCGGCCCGUUUUGGGGUGAAUUCCCUCUGCAGCAGGAAUUCCUCAGGCAGGGGGGGUAAAGUGGAACCCCCAAAAUCCCCAUGGGGGGAAAUGCAGGGGGAAGGUCAAAGGGGCUUCGACGAGGCUGAAUUGGGGGUGCAGUCCUGGGACCCCCACACCCGGCCCUUCCCGGCCUCCCCGUGGGCUCCACGCCCCUCCAGCCACCCCAGAACCCCAAAACCUCCCAGGAGAUCCCACAGGAACCCCAAAGAUCCCAGAAGACACAUUCCAAAGAUCCUACAGGAACAUCCUGGAAGAAAGAUCCUACAGGAACAUCCCAAAUAUCCCACAGAACAUCCAAAGAUCUCAAAGGAACAUCCCAAAUAUCCCACGGGAACAUCCCAAAGGUCCACGGGAACAUCCCAAAUCAGGAACCAUCCCAAAGAUCCCAAAACAGGAACAUCCCAAGAUCCCAUGGGAACAUCCAAAGAAAUAAAGAUCUACGGAAAUAUCCCCAAUAUCCCACAGAACAUUCCCCAACGAUCUCAAAGGAACAUCUCAAAUAUCCCACAGGAACAUCCCAAAGAUCCCACAGGAACAUCCCAAAGAUCUCAAAGGAACAUCCCAAAUAUCCCACAGGAACAUCCCAAAGAUCCUACAGGAACAUCCCAAAGAAAACGGGAACAUCCGAAGAUCCCAAAACAGGAACAUCCCAAAGAGUCCCAGGGGAACAUCCAGCAGAUCCCACAGGACCAUCCCAGCUCAGGGAGCCGCUCGCUCUGCCCCAAUUAACGCGCUGCAGUUAAUUACUGGCACAGGAACUCCAGCUCUCGUGGCCGUGCCCGCGGCUCUGCAGGAGGGUCGGUGGGCGCAGGGCGGGCACGCAGGGGCACCCAGGGGUGCCCAGCAGGGCUGGGUGCUCGGGGAGUGUCACUCCGGGGGCUGCCCGGCGUUGAGGGCCAGCAGGACCAUGCUGUGGGCCAGCAGGAGACCUCCGAGGCUGCGGGGCACAGCGGGGUGAGCGACGGGCACCGGGGGCACUGGGGGCACUGGGGGCACUGGGAGAACUGGGAGAACUGGGAGAGGUGGGGCUGGGGUGGGAGUGGCACUGGGAGGCACUGGGGGGGCUGGGGUGGGCACUGGGUGGACUGGGCAAGCACUGGGGGAGACUGGAAGAGAUGGGGCUGGGAUGGGAGUGGCACUGGGAGAACUGGGAGCACUGGGAUGGGCACUGGGAGAACUGGGAGAGGUGGGGCUGGGGUGGGAGUGGCACUGGGGGCACUGGGAGAGGUGGGGCUGGGGUGGGAGUGGCAUUGGGAGAACUGGGAGCACUGGGAUGGGCACCGGGGGCACUGGGAGAACUGGGAGAGGUGGGCUGGGGUGGGAGUGGCACUGGGAGAACUGGGAGAACUGGGAGAGGUGGG
RNAcentral lists this long non-coding RNA (1863 nucleotides) under Taeniopygia guttata (zebra finch). RNAcentral describes it as "lncRNA (ENSTGUG00000019900.1)". The record is from RNAcentral. Lineage: Eukaryota; Metazoa; Chordata; Aves; Passeriformes; Estrildidae.